RNAcentral lists this ribosomal RNA (468 nucleotides) under uncultured bacterium. Its description in RNAcentral is "partial 16S ribosomal RNA". It matches the Rfam family "Bacterial small subunit ribosomal RNA", at positions 28 to 507 of the family's 1533-position model. The record is from RNAcentral.
GACGAACGCUGGCGGCGUGCUUAACACAUGCAAGUCGAACGGAAAGGCCCUGCUUUUGUGGGGUGCUCGAGUGGCGAACGGGUGAGUAACACGUGAGUAACCUGCCCUUGACUUUGGGAUAACUUCAGGAAACUGGGGCUAAUACCGGAUAGGAGCUCCUGCUGCAUGGUGGGGGUUGGAAAGUUUCGGCGGUUGGGGAUGGACUCGCGGCUUAUCAGCUUGUUGGUGGGGUAGUGGCUUACCAAGGCUUUGACGGGUAGCCGGCCUGAGAGGGUGACCGGCGACAUUGGGACGGAGAGAGGGACCAGAGGCGAAGGGGAGGCAGCGGGGGGGAGUAGUGCAGAAUGGGCGGGGGGCUGAUGCGGCAACGCCGCGUGCGGGAUGGGGGCCUUCGGGUGGGAAACCGAUGUCGCCGGUGAAGAAGCGGGAGGGACGGUAAUGGGUAAAGAAGCACCGGCUAACUACGUG